Molecule: ribosomal RNA, 465 nt
Filed under: Vreelandella stevensii
Lineage: Bacteria; Pseudomonadati; Pseudomonadota; Gammaproteobacteria; Oceanospirillales; Halomonadaceae
Description: partial 16S ribosomal RNA
Rfam family: Bacterial small subunit ribosomal RNA
Source: RNAcentral
CCUACGGGGGGCAGCAGUGGGGAAUAUUGGACAAUGGGGGGAACCCUGAUCCAGCCAUGCCGCGUGUGUGAAGAAGGCCCUCGGGUUGUAAAGCACUUUCAGUGAGGAAGAACGCCUGGUGGUUAAUACCCAUCAGGAAAGACAUCACUCACAGAAGAAGCACCGGCUAACUCCGUGCCAGCAGCCGCGGUAAUACGGAGGGUGCGAGCGUUAAUCGGAAUUACUGGGCGUAAAGCGCGCGUAGGUGGCUUGAUAAGCCGGUUGUGAAAGCCCCGGGCUCAACCUGGGAACGGCAUCCGGAACUGUCAAGCUAGAGUGCAGCAGAGGAAGGUAGAACUCCCGGUGUAGCGGUGAAAUGCGUAGAGAUCGGGAGGAAUACCAGUGGCGAAGGCGGCCUUCUGGACUGACACUGACACUGAGGUGCGAAAGCGUGGGUAGCAAACAGGAUUAGAUACCCGGGUAGUC